Flavobacterium sp. ov086 is the source of this 80-nucleotide non-coding RNA. The record is from Rfam. NCBI's taxonomy places the organism in Bacteria, Pseudomonadati, Bacteroidota, Flavobacteriia, Flavobacteriales, Flavobacteriaceae.
UUCUAGCCCUGAUGGGAGGGAAAAUCCUUUUACUUUUUUCUUUAAAAAGUAAAAGAUUGGAAGGAACAGCAGGAAACAGC